This 28-nucleotide non-coding RNA is filed under the name Erwinia tasmaniensis. The record is from RNAcentral. Lineage: Bacteria; Pseudomonadati; Pseudomonadota; Gammaproteobacteria; Enterobacterales; Erwiniaceae.
GUUCACUGCCGUACAGGUAGCUUAGAAG